CACCACUCAAGCCUGGCUUGGUGUUGGGCGACGUCCCCUUUGGGGACGCGCCUCGAAACGCUCGGCGGCGCGGCACCGGCUUUAAGCGUAGCAGAAUCUUUCGCUUUGAAGGUCGGGGCCCCGUCUGCCGGAAGACCUACUCGCAA
Molecule: unclassified non-coding RNA, 146 nt
Filed under: uncultured Cenococcum
Lineage: Eukaryota; Fungi; Ascomycota; Dothideomycetes; Gloniales; Gloniaceae
Description: sequence contains ITS2
Source: RNAcentral